GGUGGCUGUUUACCUAAAAAAAAACAUAUGUCUCUGCAAAGUCGCAAGAUCAUGAAUGGAAACUGAUACUUGCCCAGUACCGAAAAGUUAAGAAAGUUAAAGAACUGGUAACAGGAAAGUCGGCGAUUGAACGGCGGUCCUAAAGUAGCGAAAUUCCUUGUCGGGUAAGUUCUGACCCACACAAAAGGUGUAACGAUU
This is a non-coding RNA of Oryza sativa Japonica Group (Japanese rice), 198 nucleotides long. NCBI's taxonomy places the organism in Eukaryota, Viridiplantae, Streptophyta, Magnoliopsida, Poales, Poaceae. The record is from Rfam.